CUUCUUCAAUUUGUUGUGGACAGAUAAAGUGAAUGUGGGUAUCAAUAGCCCCCGCGGUAAUGAUCAUGCCUUCACCGGCAAUCACCUCGGUGCCUGCGCCAAUCGCUAUCGUCACGCCAGGUUGUAUAUCCGGAUUACCGGCUUUGCCGAUGGCUGAAAUAUAGCCAGCCUUGAUGCCGAUAUCGGCUUUGACGAUGCCCCAGUGGUCUAUGAUCAGUGCAUUGGUAAUCACGGUAUCGGCCACUUCUGCUGCCAAACCCUGGCCUUGGCCCAUGCCAUCGCGGAUG
This 287-nucleotide small RNA is filed under the name Corchorus olitorius. RNAcentral describes it as "5' ureB small RNA". It matches the Rfam family "5' ureB small RNA". Lineage: Eukaryota; Viridiplantae; Streptophyta; Magnoliopsida; Malvales; Malvaceae. The record is from Rfam by way of RNAcentral.